RNAcentral lists this ribosomal RNA (497 nucleotides) under uncultured bacterium. RNAcentral describes it as "partial 16S ribosomal RNA". It matches the Rfam family "Bacterial small subunit ribosomal RNA", at positions 28 to 507 of the family's 1533-position model. The record is from RNAcentral.
GAUGAACGCUGGCGGCGUGCCUAAUACAUGCAAGUCGAGCGAACAGACGAGGAGCUUGCUCCUCUGACGUUAGCGGCGGACGGGUGAGUAACACGUGGAUAACCUACCUAUAAGACUGGGAUAACUUCGGGAAACCGGAGCUAAUACCGGAUAAUAUAUUGAACCGCAUGGUUCAAUAGUGAAAGACGGUUUUGCUGUCACUUAUAGAUGGAUCCGCGCCGCAUUAGCUAGUUGGUAAGGUAACGGCUUACCAAGGCAACGAUGCGUAGCCGACCUGAGAGGGUGAUCGGCCACACUGGAACUGAGACACGGUCCAGACUCCUACGGGAGGCAGCAGUAGGGAAUCUUCCGCAAUGGUCGAAAGCCUGACGGAGCAACGCCGCGUGAGUGAUGAAGGUCUUCGGAUCGUAAAGCUCUGUUAUUAGGGAAGAACAAAUGUGUAAGUAACUAUGCACGUCUUGACGGUACCUAAUCAGAAAGCCACGGCUAACUACGUG